UGCGUAGGCGGGCUAAUAAGUCAGUGGUGAAAUCUCUCGGCUCAACCGGGAAACUGCCAUUGAUACUGUUAGUCUUGAGUUCGGUUGAGGUAGGCGGAAUGUGUAAUGUAGCGGUGAAAUGCUUAGAUAUCACACAGAACACCAAUUGCGUAGGCAGCUUACUAGACCGACACUGACGCUGAGGCACGAAAGCGUGGGGAGCGAACAGGAUUAGAUACCCUGGUAGUCC
This 229-nucleotide ribosomal RNA is filed under the name uncultured bacterium. RNAcentral describes it as "partial 16S ribosomal RNA". It matches the Rfam family "Bacterial small subunit ribosomal RNA", at positions 568 to 796 of the family's 1533-position model. The record is from RNAcentral.